RNAcentral lists this transfer RNA (83 nucleotides) under Candidatus Woesearchaeota archaeon. RNAcentral's name for it is "tRNA-Ser". It matches the Rfam family "tRNA". Rfam says of the family: Transfer RNA (tRNA) molecules are approximately 80 nucleotides in length. Their secondary structure includes four short double-helical elements and three loops (D, anti-codon, and T loops). The record is from RNAcentral. Lineage: Archaea; Nanobdellati; Candidatus Woesearchaeota.
GCCCGCGUCGCAUAACCUGGUAUUGCGCCGGUCUCGAAAACCGGUUUCGUUACGAUAUGUCGGUUCAAAUCCGGCCGCGGGCG